ACUCAAAGGAAUAGACGGGGGCCCGCACAAGCGGUGGAGCAUGUGGCUUAAUUCGAUGCAACGCGAAGAACCUUACCUGGCCUUGACAUGUACAUAGUAGAAGGGUGAAAGCCUGACGAGGUAGCAAUACCAGUGUACACAGGUGCUGCAUGGCUGUCGUCAGCUCGUGCCGUGAGGUGUUCGGUUAAGUCCGGUAACGAGCGCAACCCCUGUGAUCUGUUGCCACCUGGAGCAAUCCAGAGCACUCUGAUCAGACUGCCCUGCAUAACGGGGAGGAAGGUGGGGAUGACGUCAAGUCAGUAUGGUCCUUACGGCCAGGGCUGCACACGUGCUACAAUGGCCGGUACAGAGGGAAGCCAACCCGCGAGGGGGAGCCAAUCCCAGAAAACCGGCCUCAGUUCAGAUUGAAGGCUGCAACUCGCCUUCAUGAAGCUGGAAUCGCUAGUAAUGGCGCAUCAGCUACGGCGCCGUGAAUACGUUCCCGGGCCUUGCACACACCGCCCGU
RNAcentral lists this ribosomal RNA (505 nucleotides) under uncultured bacterium. RNAcentral describes it as "partial 16S ribosomal RNA". It matches the Rfam family "Bacterial small subunit ribosomal RNA", at positions 899 to 1397 of the family's 1533-position model. The record is from RNAcentral.